UGGGGUGUAGCUCAGUGGUAAAGUGUUUGCCUGGCAUACAUGAGGCCAUGGAUUUGAACCCCAACACUUCAA
Molecule: transfer RNA, 72 nt
Filed under: Fukomys damarensis (Damara mole-rat)
Lineage: Eukaryota; Metazoa; Chordata; Mammalia; Rodentia; Bathyergidae
Rfam family: tRNA
About the family: Transfer RNA (tRNA) molecules are approximately 80 nucleotides in length.
Source: Rfam by way of RNAcentral